UGGGCUCAUGCUGGGAAGCAGAGGACUGCCAUCCAUCUGGAAGAAGUGGCCAGAGUGAGGUGCAUGCUACUUCAACCACCCCCCACCCUGAUCGGGAACUUCAGGGCCAGAUACUUUCUGAGGAUCUGACCCAUGUCACUGACUUGAGUAGGCGGACAGGCCAGGGUGCUUUGUAUGGGACCUGGCUCCCUGGUCCUCUGAGCUCCUCUUCCUCUCUUAGAAAAUUGCUGGGCAUGCUGAGCAACUUCAUAUCCAUCCAUCUGGAGUAAACAUCACAAUUAAUUAUUUGAGCCUGAACAAUCCAGGUUUUGGGCACAGCAGGCUCCUAGAGGGGCUCACAGCUGGAUAGCACCAGAUGGAUCCUCUGCAUAGCAAAACUUUUAGAAUAAGCUUUCAGAGGGGUGAUUUCUCUUUGGGAAGCUGAGACGAGACAUUCCUUUCCCUUCUUACUCUUGUUUUCCCCAUCCAGAAAUGCAAGAUGAGCACUCUUGCCCUCUCUGAGCACUGAACAGGCUGAAGGUCAUAGAGUCCUUGCCAUGUACAGUAGGAACUCUGGUUCUGAGCAGGCAGAGCCACACCUGCCUUCUCAGCUCCCCACUGUAGGUGGUCAUCAGGACCUGAGGGCCCACUUGCAAGUCGGGCCAUUCUCAUCCUCACCUGGUCUCUGAUCUCCCUUAAGGCUCAGACCCUGCUAACUCCUGGCAGGGCUUCCUAGGAACCAUUCCUUU
RNAcentral lists this long non-coding RNA (728 nucleotides) under Homo sapiens (human). Its description in RNAcentral is "non-protein coding lnc-ANKK1-4:1". Lineage: Eukaryota; Metazoa; Chordata; Mammalia; Primates; Hominidae. The record is from RNAcentral.